RNAcentral lists this ribosomal RNA (594 nucleotides) under Trichoderma sp. 23 SO-2015. RNAcentral describes it as "eukaryotic LSU rRNA". The record is from RNAcentral. Lineage: Eukaryota; Fungi; Ascomycota; Sordariomycetes; Hypocreales; Hypocreaceae.
CAAGGUCUCCGUUGGUGAACCAGCGGAGGGAWCAUUACCGAGUUUACAACUCCCAAACCCAAUGUGAACCAUACCAAACUGUUGCCUCGGCGGGGUCACGCCCCGGGUGCGUCGCAGCCCCGGAACCAGGCGCCCGCCGGAGGGACCAACCAAACUCUUUCUGUAGUCCCCUCGCGGACGUUAUUUCUUACAGCUCUGAGCAAAAAUUCAAAAUGAAUCAAAACUUUCAACAACGGAUCUCUUGGUUCUGGCAUCGAUGAAGAACGCAGCGAAAUGCGAUAAGUAAUGUGAAUUGCAGAAUUCAGUGAAUCAUCGAAUCUUUGAACGCACAUUGCGCCCGCCAGUAUUCUGGCGGGCAUGCCUGUCCGAGCGUCAUUUCAACCCUCGAACCCCUCCGGGGGGUCGGCGUUGGGGAUCGGGAACCCCUAAGACGGGAUCCCGGCCCCGAAAUACAGUGGCGGUCUCGCCGCAGCCUCUCCUGCGCAGUAGUUUGCACAACUCGCACCGGGAGCGCGGCGCGUCCACGUCCGUAAAACACCCAACUUCUGAAAUGUUGACCUCGGAUCAGGUAGGAAUACCCGCUGAACUUAAGCA